AUAAACGCUGGCGGCGCACAUAAGACAUGCAAGUUGAACGGACUUAAUCGAAAUAUUUAUAUUUUGAAGCGGUUAGUGGCGGACUGGUGAGUAACGCGUAAGGAACCUGCCUAUUAGAGGGGAAUAACAGUGAGAAAUCAUUGCUAAUACCGCAUAUGCCAUAGAUAUCACAUGAUAACAGUGGGAAAGGAGCAAUCCGCUAAUAGAUGGCCUUGCGUCUGAUUAGAUAGUUGGUGGGGUAACGGCCUACCAAGUCGACGAUCAGUAGCCGGACUGAGAGGUUGAACGGCCACAUUGGGACUGAGAUACGGCCCAGACUCCUACGGGAAGCAGCAGUCGGGAAUAUUGCGCAAUGGAGGAAACUCUGACGCAGUGACGCCGCGUAUAGGAAGAAGGUUUUCGGAUUGUAAACUAUUGUCGUUAGGGAAGAGAAAGGACAGUACCUAAGGAGGAAGCUCCGGCUAACUACGU
Molecule: ribosomal RNA, 471 nt
Filed under: uncultured bacterium
Lineage: Bacteria
Description: partial 16S ribosomal RNA
Rfam family: Bacterial small subunit ribosomal RNA
Source: RNAcentral